CCUACGGGAGGCAGCAGUAGGGAAUAUUGGUCAAUGGGCGGGAGCCUGAACCAGCCAUGCCGCGUGCGGGAGGAAGGCCCUACGGGUCGUAAACCGCUUUUACACGGGAACAACCGCAGGUACGUGUACCUGCCUGAGUGUACCGUGGGAAUAAGGAUCGGCUAACUCCGUGCCAGCAGCCGCGGUAAU
Molecule: ribosomal RNA, 189 nt
Filed under: uncultured Sphingobacterium sp.
Lineage: Bacteria; Pseudomonadati; Bacteroidota; Sphingobacteriia; Sphingobacteriales; Sphingobacteriaceae
Description: partial 16S ribosomal RNA
Rfam family: Bacterial small subunit ribosomal RNA
Source: RNAcentral